CGGCAGGCCUAAACAUGCAAGUCGAACGGUAACAUAGAUUGCUUGCAAUCUGAUGACGAGUGGCGCACGGGUGCGUAACGCGUAUGCAAUCUACCUUUUACAGGAGAAUAGCCCAGAGAAAUUUGGAAUAAUGCUCCAUAAUAUCAUUUAUCAGCAUUGAUUUAUGAUUAAAGCUCCGGCGGUAAAAGAUGAGCAUGCGUUCUAUUAGCUAGUAGGUGAGGUAACGGCUCACCUAGGCAACGAUAGAUAGGGGCCCUGAGAGGGGGAUCCCCCACACUGGUACUGAGACACGGACCAGACUCCUACGGGAGGCAGCAGUGAGGAAUAUUGGACAAUGGAGGAAACUCUGAUCCAGCCAUGCCGCGUGCAGGAUGACUGCCCUAUGGGUUGUAAACUGCUUUUAUAUAGGAAGAAACACUCCCACGUGUGGGGGCUUGACGGUACUAUAUGAAUAAGGAUCGG
RNAcentral lists this ribosomal RNA (462 nucleotides) under uncultured Bacteroidota bacterium. RNAcentral's name for it is "bacterial SSU rRNA". It matches the Rfam family "Bacterial small subunit ribosomal RNA", at positions 40 to 496 of the family's 1533-position model. The record is from RNAcentral. Lineage: Bacteria; Pseudomonadati; Bacteroidota.